RNAcentral lists this transfer RNA (81 nucleotides) under Brevundimonas sp. NIBR10. RNAcentral describes it as "tRNA-Arg". Lineage: Bacteria; Pseudomonadati; Pseudomonadota; Alphaproteobacteria; Caulobacterales; Caulobacteraceae. The record is from RNAcentral.
CUGCCCGCCGGUCCCACCGGCGGUGUCUGGUCGGCCUUCGACGCCGACGACCUCAUCCGGUUCGAGGCCGGCGGCUGGGCC